CUAGUGCGCGAAGCAUUAAUUUUCUGUGAUGGCAAGUUUGAGUUAGGUGUGCUAGAAAAAAAAGUAAAAAUCGUUCUUUCAUGAAGUUGCGUCACCCACAUGUUCUGUUUGAAGUGAAAUAAAGUCGGAAAAUAAAUUAAAUAGUUGAUAAUAUCGUUGCAAAAAUGUUGACCGCUACGCGGGCGAUCGGCCGUAAGGCUCUGGAGUGCUCCGGUUUAAGUUCCGACAUAUACACACAGAGGAAUUUCUCGACAAUCCUCAAAAACACUGCUGCUCCUACAGUACCUAUUUACCAGCGACAUGGAGUCCAACACAGAAACAAGUGAGUCCUGAACUUCUAAUUUAUCAAAAAAUUCUUUCAUAUUUCGUCAUAACCUAACUUAUUGCAUAUCGGACAUGACCUUUGAAUACAUAAUAAAUUGAGGUUUAUGAACAAUGGUAUGCGACCACCUUACUAGUAAACAUGUUCACUAUUACAUACAUUUGCAGAAAAAUACGUUUUGUGUAUAUUUCCUUAGGCCCAUCUUAACAAUAUAUUAGCCAGCCGAAAUCCCUCGGGUGUUAAAAUUGUUACAGACAUUUCAAAAAUCAAAAGUCAUUUAUUAAUGUAGCUCAAAAGACUUGUCACCAAGUUAGAAAAAAAGAAAUUUUUUGUUACGUCUCUGACAGUUUAUGGCCAUUCCUCUAUUUUUUCCAUAGAUUCUUUUAUUCUUUGAUCAUCCAUUGUUUCGAUCAAGCUGCGACCUACAUUAGGAAUUUUCAGUUAAUCGCCAUGGACCUCUACACUUUUUUAUUUUUGACGAACGGUGUUUGGAUACCAGACUCGUUUGAUUAAUUAGAAUGAAUGAAAGUCGUGACAUCGAGAGGCCAGUUUUGUGGAUCCAACUGAUCGAAAGGUUGAUCUGACUACGCAUCUACAAGAAAUUGAAAAAACUGUAAAAGUCUGACAGCCAGUCUAACCAAGGGGUAUUGUGUGUUGCCCAGGUAACUGGG
Trichoplusia ni (cabbage looper) is the source of this 993-nucleotide long non-coding RNA. RefSeq lists it as uncharacterized. The transcript has 3 exons. Lineage: Eukaryota; Metazoa; Arthropoda; Insecta; Lepidoptera; Noctuidae. The record is from RefSeq and is a predicted model, not a curated record.